GCCCCAGUGGCCUAAUGGAUAAGGCACUGGCCUCCUAAGCCAGAGAUUGUGGGUUCAAGUCCCAUCUGGGGUG
RNAcentral lists this transfer RNA (73 nucleotides) under Atractosteus spatula (alligator gar). It matches the Rfam family "tRNA". Rfam says of the family: Transfer RNA (tRNA) molecules are approximately 80 nucleotides in length. Their secondary structure includes four short double-helical elements and three loops (D, anti-codon, and T loops). RNAcentral also lists the same sequence under 4 other names. The record is from Rfam by way of RNAcentral. Lineage: Eukaryota; Metazoa; Chordata; Actinopteri; Semionotiformes; Lepisosteidae.